Molecule: ribosomal RNA, 408 nt
Filed under: uncultured bacterium
Lineage: Bacteria
Description: partial 16S ribosomal RNA
Rfam family: Bacterial small subunit ribosomal RNA
Source: RNAcentral
GACGAACGCUGGCGGCGUGCCUAAUACAUGCAAGUCGAGCGAAGCUGCGGAUGGGUGAGUCACCCGUGGGUAACCUGCUCUUCAUUCUGGGCUACCAUUUGGAAACAGAUGCUAAUACCGGAUACUAUAGGCUGGAUCUGCGAUGCAUUAGCUAGUUGGUAAGGUAACGGCUUACCAAGGCGAUGAUGCAGAGCCGGGUUGAGGGACUGAGCGGCCACAUUGGGACUGAGAAACGGCCCAAAGUCCUAGGGGAGGCAGCAGUAGGGAAUCGUCCACAAUGGACGAAAGGCUGAUGGAGCAACGCCGCGUGGGUGAAGAAGGUUUUCGGAUCGUAAAGCUCUGUUGUUGGUGAAGCGGUAAGCGACCAGAAAGUCACGGCUAACUACGUGCCAGCAGCCGCGGUAAUAC